This 2053-nucleotide long non-coding RNA is filed under the name Ricinus communis (castor bean). RNAcentral describes it as "long non-coding RNA (RCOM_LNC001162)". The record is from RNAcentral. Lineage: Eukaryota; Viridiplantae; Streptophyta; Magnoliopsida; Malpighiales; Euphorbiaceae.
GAGAGGCUUCCCUGCCGCAGGCCAGGCUAUACAACUCUUUGGUACGCAUUUUUAUAUCUCCCGCUAUAUCUGCUCUGCCAAACAUUUAACAAUUUAAGUUGGGCCAGCCUAUUCCAUACUUUGGGAGUUUACGUUCGUAAUGACGUCAAAGUAUGCUUUUGGUACCCCGGAUAAACAAAUCUUGAUCGAAUCUAUAUUUAUCCAAUGUAUACAAUCUGUUCAACUUAAAUUUCAUAUGGGUUGGAUGUACUUUUAUGUUCAUGUUUUUUUUAUUAUUUUUAAUUUAUAUAUAUUAAUUUUUAAAAUUUAAUUUUUUUAAUAUAUAUAUAUUUAAAUUUUAACACAUAUAAUUUUUAUUUUAAUAUAUAUAUUUAUUUUAAUACAUGAAAUUAAAGUUUAUAUAUAAUUUUAUAAUUUUUUUCUAUUAAUAUAUUAAUUAAUAAAUUAUAUUUUUAAUUAAACACUAAAUCUAAUCUUAAAAAAUAACAUAUUAAUAAUUAAUUAGAUAAUAUAAUUUAUUCUAAGAAACAUAUUAAUUAUAUUUUAAUAAUGUAUUAACUAGUAAAUUAAUUUUUUAAUUAAAUAAUAAUUUUAAUUAUAGAUAAUAGUCUUUUUAAAUAUUAUAUUCACUAAUAAAUUAAUAUUUUUAAUUAUAUAAUAAUUUCUAAUUCUAAAAAAUAGUAAUAUCAAUUAUAUUAAUAGUAUUGAUUUAUAUAAUAUUAUAAUUAACUUAAUAAAUAUUUUUUAGAUAAUUUUAUAUUAUUACAUUAUAAGAUUUUCAAAUUUUAAAAAAAUUAAAAAUAUUUAAAUAUAGUUAGUUUGUUGGUAUUUUUUAAAAUAUUAUAAAUAAAUAUUAAAUGUCAAAAAAUUUAUUAGAUUGUAUCUAUAAACUUGAUUUUAUAAUAAAUUUGUAAUCAAAAUAAUAAUAACGAUCGUACAAUGCAUAUAUGUAAAAAACUAUUGAUAUUUAAAUUUAAUAUAUAAAUUUUUUAUGAGAUAUUUCCAAAAUAUAUACACAUGAAACUCAUUUUAAUUACAAAUAAAUUUUAUAAAUAUAUUGAUCUUGUAAAUGCAAUUUCAUAUUUGUAAAGAUAAUUUAAAUUUUUAGUCUUAUUAGAUUUUCAUUUUGAAUUUAUAUCUUUGUUAAUUUGCAGCCAUGUUAGUUUAGAAUCCAUUAGUAAAUUCUUGCAAUGAGUCCAAAUGUAGCCGAUUCCAUUCAUAGAAUUAAUGUAAAUAAAAUUUCAGAUAUAUUUUUAUUUAUACUAAAUAGAAUGAAUAUGAAUUUUUAAAUGAAUUUGAUAAAACUUUAUAAAACUCCUCUAUUAUAGCAAAAAUAAAUUUCAAUUUUAAGUGCUGAAAUUUUUUAAUUUUAAGUGAUAAGCUGAGUUACUAAACACUCCCUAAGAGUUUAGUUAUUAGUGUUUCUACAAAUCAAACAUUUUUUCUUCAUUAAAUAAUAAUUUUCUUAGAAUGUUGUAGAAAAGAAUUUCAAACAAUAUAUAUAUCUUCUUAUGUAUUUCAUACUCUCAUCAUAUCUUAGGCUUUUUUAAAAAUUCAGAUUAGCUCUCUAAAUUCUAGAAGUAAUUUUAUAAAAUUAGUGGCUUGAUUAGAAGAAAGAGUAGAGUCUAGUGGCUUCCUGUCAGAGUUAAGGAGAAGAACUUGAAAAAUCAAGCUAAGAAAAAAGAGUUGCAUUUAUUACUUGUGUGUUAUAUGCAUGGAAAGCUGGGAACAACUUGAUUUUUAACAAUGUCCCUUGUGAAUUGUAAUGCUCAAAAUGUUUGCAGGCGUAUCAGGAACGAUUGCCAUUAAGUCCUGCUGUACCCAGGUAUUGAAAAAUUAAUAUCAUCUCAUUGAUUAUAUAUUAUAGUAUCAUCAUCUACAUAAACAGCCACUGAAAGCUAGUAACUUUUUAUCAUGGUGAAUUACUAGGAGAAACACCUAUACAAGCUUCUCUACCGAUGCACCAUACUCGCCUUCGACUUGGUGUUGCAGUUACUGAGCUUGCUUUGGCUUCACUAUAAGAGAAUCCCAUAUCAGAACUGUAACUAGCAUU